AAAUAUGAUUGUAUAUUGUCUGACUCCUGCCCAGUGUCUUAGAAAGUAAAAUGAAUAUUUGAAAAGGUAUUUGUAUAAGCUCAAGUAAACGGCGGCUGUAACCUUGACGGUCUUAAGGUAGCGAAAUCCCUAGUCAAUUAAUUGUUGACGUGCAUGAAUGGAGUAACGACUGUUUUACUGUCUCGGGCUUUUGUACUGUGAAUUCAUAAUUGUCGUGAAGAUACGACAUUCCUAUAGUGGGACGGAGAGACCCUAUGCAGCUUUACUAUAAUUUUAAAGUGUUUGAAAUUCUUUAAGUAUGUAGGAUAGGUAUAAGCUUAUUAUUUUUUUAACGCAAGUUAAUUGAUUAGGCAAUCUUGAAAUAGUACCUCUUUAAAAAUUUUUAAAACUAAUUUUACAAAGACAUUUUAUGAUUGGUAGUUUCACUGGGGG
RNAcentral lists this ribosomal RNA (432 nucleotides) under uncultured bacterium. Its description in RNAcentral is "bacterial LSU rRNA". It matches the Rfam family "Bacterial large subunit ribosomal RNA", at positions 1834 to 2280 of the family's 2925-position model. The record is from RNAcentral.